Molecule: long non-coding RNA, 295 nt
Organism: Lagopus leucura (white-tailed ptarmigan)
Lineage: Eukaryota; Metazoa; Chordata; Aves; Galliformes; Phasianidae
Exons: 3
Source: RefSeq, a predicted model, not a curated record
ACGAAGGUGGCUGCCACACGGGCCUGGGCCGCGGGCGAGAAGCCCCGGCACCCAGAGAACUGUGGGAUUCCGGCAUCGCAGGAGCACUUCGAGCACCCACCAGAGAGAUUGUGCCCAGCCCCACAUCAGUAUCCCAGCUCCACGGCCACACACAUACCUGGGUGACCAUCUCUGCAUCCACAAAGUCUGGCAGCAGCAGCCCUGUGUCGAAGAUGGGGUCACUGGGGGGGUCUGAAGAGGUCCCUGCCACUGCACAGUGAGGAGAGAAUGGCCAGGAGGACACGUCGGAGGCAAG